UUUGAGAAUUACAUAAAUAUUGGAAAUUGGAAAAGUUGCUGCUUAAGUUUUUAUAAUAGCAAUUUGCAUAUACUCCAGAAUGUUAUGAAGAGUGAUCAGAUGAAUUGCAUAGUCCUUCUUUGUCAUGAAAAUUAACUUUAUCCCAAAAAAAUCAUUUCAACUGACAUUUCAUUGCUCUCAUUAA
Long non-coding RNA from Bufo bufo (common toad), 184 nucleotides. RefSeq lists it as uncharacterized. Lineage: Eukaryota; Metazoa; Chordata; Amphibia; Anura; Bufonidae. The record is from RefSeq and is a predicted model, not a curated record. The transcript is spliced from 4 exons.